This 685-nucleotide ribosomal RNA is filed under the name uncultured bacterium. RNAcentral describes it as "bacterial SSU rRNA". It matches the Rfam family "Bacterial small subunit ribosomal RNA", at positions 56 to 789 of the family's 1533-position model. The record is from RNAcentral.
UGCAAGUCGAGCGCCCCGCAAGGGGAGCGGCAGACGGGUGAGUAACGCGUGGGAAUCUACCGAGCCCUACGGAAUAACGCAUGGAAACGUGUGCUAAUACCGUAUACGCCCUACGGGGGAAAGAUUUAUCGGGGUUUGAUGAGCCCGCGUUGGAUUAGCUAGUUGGUGGGGUAAAGGCCUACCAAGGCGACGAUCCAUAGCUGGUCUGAGAGGAUGAUCAGCCACAUUGGGACUGAGACACGGCCCAAACUCCUACGGGAGGCAGCAGUGGGGAAUAUUGGACAAUGGGCGCAAGCCUGAUCCAGCCAUGCCGCGUGAGUGAUGAAGGUCUUAGGAUUGUAAAGCUCUUUCACCGGAGAAGAUAAUGACGGUAUCCGGAGAAGAAGCCCCGGCUAACUUCGUGCCAGCAGCCGCGGUAAUACGAAGGGGGCUAGCGUUGUUCGGAAUUACUGGGCGUAAAGCGCACGUAGGCGGAUAUUUAAGUCAGGGGUGAAAUCCCAGAGCUCAACUCUGGAACUGCCUUUGAUACUGGGUAUCUAGAGUAUGGAAGAGGUGAGUGGAAUUCCGAGUGUAGAGGUGAAAUUCGUAGAUAUUCGGAGGAACACCAGUGGCGAAGGCGGCUCACUGGUCCAUUACUGACGCUGAGGUGCGAAAGCGUGGGGAGCAAACAGGAUUAGAUACCCUG